RNAcentral lists this ribosomal RNA (591 nucleotides) under Salmonella enterica subsp. enterica serovar Derby. RNAcentral describes it as "partial 23S ribosomal RNA". It matches the Rfam family "Bacterial large subunit ribosomal RNA", at positions 1 to 586 of the family's 2925-position model. Lineage: Bacteria; Pseudomonadati; Pseudomonadota; Gammaproteobacteria; Enterobacterales; Enterobacteriaceae. The record is from RNAcentral.
GGGUUGUGAGGUUAAGCGACUAAGCGUACACGGUGGAUGCCCUGGCAGUCAGAGGCGAUGAAGGGCGUGCUAAUCUGCGAUAAGCGCCGGUAAGGUGAUAUGAACCGUUAUAACCGGCGAUACCCGAAUGGGGAAACCCAGUGUGAUUCGUCACACUAUCAUUAACUGAAUCCAUAGGUUAAUGAGGCGAACCGGGGGAACUGAAACAUCUAAGUACCCCGAGGAAAAGAAAUCAACCGAGAUUCCCCCAGUAGCGGCGAGCGAACGGGGAGGAGCCCAGAGCCUGAAUCAGCAUGUGUGUUAGUGGAAGCGUCUGGAAAGGCGCGCGAUACAGGGUGACAGCCCCGUACACAAAAGCGCAUGUGCUGUGAGCUCGAUGAGUAGGGCGGGACACGUGGUAUCCUGUCUGAAUAUGGGGGGACCAUCCUCCAAGGCUAAAUACUCCUGACUGACCGAUAGUGAACCAGUACCGUGAGGGAAAGGCGAAAAGAACCCCGGCGAGGGGAGUGAAAAAGAACCUGAAACCGUGUACGUACAAGCAGUGGGAGCCCCACCACUAAGCCAGUGGUGAACUCCACAUACGCAUCCUUU